Long non-coding RNA from Lutra lutra (Eurasian river otter), 317 nucleotides. RefSeq lists it as uncharacterized. The transcript is spliced from 3 exons. Lineage: Eukaryota; Metazoa; Chordata; Mammalia; Carnivora; Mustelidae. The record is from RefSeq and is a predicted model, not a curated record.
CUCACACACACGUGCAUGCUCUCUCACUCUCUCUAAGAAGGAAGGAAAGAAAAAAAGAAGAAAGAAAGAAAAAGAAAAGAAAAGGUUUGAAGACCGAGGUUUGAUAUACUCCAACAAGGAAAUAUCUAAAAAGAAACUGGGGCUAAAGAGAACAAACGGUACUUGCCUCACUCAUCCAUAGACAAGGGCAACGCAGUGUAAAUGUGUUCUGCUUGACUUCUGGAUUGUGCAAAGUGAAGUCAUGUAUAUAAAAGGGCUUGCUUGCCCCAAGAAGUGCAAUUACACGUGUAAAAUGCUAGACACAGGAGUGACUUGAU